GUCUUCAAGUUCUGAUCAUCUUAAAUAUUUGCUAAAACAUUAUGAAGUUAUAUUAACAAAAUAUCGCAAUAAUAUGAAAGAAAUUGAACCACAAAAAAAUUAAAUACGUUUUCUUUAAAAUUCAUAUUGAACAUCAGUUUUAUCAACUCCGACAUCUUUUAUGUUUCAUGAGUUGGUGGCAAGAUAGGAAUGAUGGAGAAAUCCUUUCAAUAUUGCCCUUCACCAAA
RNAcentral lists this long non-coding RNA (227 nucleotides) under Capsicum annuum. RNAcentral's name for it is "long non-coding RNA (CANN_LNC010151)". Lineage: Eukaryota; Viridiplantae; Streptophyta; Magnoliopsida; Solanales; Solanaceae. The record is from RNAcentral.